RNAcentral lists this ribosomal RNA (494 nucleotides) under uncultured bacterium. Its description in RNAcentral is "partial 16S ribosomal RNA". It matches the Rfam family "Bacterial small subunit ribosomal RNA", at positions 28 to 507 of the family's 1533-position model. The record is from RNAcentral.
GACGAACGCUGGCGGCGUGCUUAACACAUGCAAGUCGAACGGAAAGGCCUGCUUUCCCUUGUGGUUUGCGGGUGCUCGAGUGGCGAACGGGUGAGUAACACGUGAGUUAUCUGCCCCCAACUUGGGUAUAAGCCUGGGAAACUGGGUCUAAUUCCCGAUAGGACUGCAGGGUGGUGCCUGUGGUGGAACACGAUUCUCUAGUGGUAGGGGAUGGGCUCGUGGCCUAUCAGCUUGUUGGUGGGGUAAUGGCCUACCAAGGCGGCGACGGGUAGCCGGCCUGAGAGGGUGGACGGCCACAUUGGGACUGAGAUACGGCCCAGACUCGUACGGGGGGCAGCAGUGGGGAAUAUUGCACGAUGGGCGGAAGCCUGAUGCAGCGACGCCGCGUGGGGGAUGACGGGCUUCGUGUUGUAAACUCCUUUCGACCGCGAGGAAGCCACCUGGUUGGAAGGGUGGUGACGGUAGUGGUAGAAGAAGCACCGGCUAACUACGUU